UGCUUUCUAGUCUGUAGGGUUAAUGUGUGUCCUUUUGUGCCAUCCUUCUGUAAUUCCUUUUGAUCCUCAUGUUCCCAUGAGUAGCUGUAACUGCUUCUAAUAGGUUUGUCCCUGCGAAAGUCAUCACUCUUUGAAGAUUUCUGACUAUAAUCGGCUUCUCACAAGUGCUGACCCAGUGAGGGAGCCAAUGGAAGAAGGAUAAUCACAUGGCUGGUUUCUUGAUUAAGCAUGAUAUGUUUUUUUUUCUUUAGGUAGUGUUAUCCAGAUACCACAAGCAGUAUCAAUUUGUAAUAAAUACUCAGUUGUGACUUGAGUUUGAUGGCUAGAAACAAUUUUCCAUAUGAUGGAUGGGUGAUCCCCAUAAUCUUAGUGUAAGUUACUCUACUAGCUGAUGCCCUUCACCAAGGUUAGUGAAAAAUUCAUGAGUGGCUCCUUUCACAUA
Molecule: long non-coding RNA, 442 nt
Organism: Macadamia integrifolia
Lineage: Eukaryota; Viridiplantae; Streptophyta; Magnoliopsida; Proteales; Proteaceae
Exons: 2
Source: RefSeq, a predicted model, not a curated record